CAAACGUAUUCUUUCAUUUAAAAAAAGCAGAAACAAAAGGAUUGCCCUAGAUUAUUGCAACUAGGUACUUAUCAUGGCCCUGGAGCCAGGGGUUCAUACCCCGCUGUAGAUGGGAGUUUAGGAGCCUGCUCAAGUUGUAUCCACAGUGUUGUGUGUUUUGCCUUUUGGGGUUCUAUGAUGGUUAAUUUUACGUGUUAACCUGAUUGGGCUAAAGGAUGCCCAGACCACUGGUAAAACAUUAUUUCUGAGCUUGUCUGUGAGGCUGUUUCCAGAAGAGAUUAGCAUUUGAAUCAAUAGACUGAGUAAAGAUCCCCCUCACCAAUAUGUGUGGGCACCAGCCAAUCCAUUGAGCGUCUGAAUAGAACAAGAAGACAGAGAAAGGGCCUUUAGACUCUACUGAAUUACACCACCGGCUUUCCUGAUUCUCCAGUCUGAAGACGGCAGAUUGCGUGACUCCUCAGCCUCUGUAAUUGUGUGAGCUAAUCCUCAUAAUAAAUCUCCAGGUAUCCCUAUCGACCCUAUUGGUUCUGUUUCUUUGGAGAACCCUCAUUAAUGCAGGUUCUUUAUUUCACUGUUUCCAUUUCCUUCCUCUUCACCAGCAUCUGGUGGGAAGUGUGCUUUCGCUUGAUGACACUGAAAAAUCAUGCCACGAGUGUCCAGUAACAGAAAGAAAAUAGACUUGCUGCACUCUGAGGAAGGGAAGGUUCCUCUCCACGCCCCCAGCGUGUAUGGGACCUAAGCUGCCAGGUUUUAGAAUGCUGGAGAAUUUCAAAUCAGACCACCUGCUCCUUAAAUGUCAAAACCAGCAGUAGUGUUUACAAUUCUAUACAACGGAUGUUCUCUAGCAACACCAAAAGCAAAUUUCAGGUCGUUAUGUAUC
Molecule: long non-coding RNA, 880 nt
Filed under: Equus caballus (horse)
Lineage: Eukaryota; Metazoa; Chordata; Mammalia; Perissodactyla; Equidae
Description: lncRNA (ENSECAG00000057262.1)
Source: RNAcentral